CGAACGGGUGAGUAAUAUAUCGGAACGUAUCCAAUAAGGGGGAGUAACUAGUCGAAAGAUUAGCUAAUACCGCAUACGCCCUGAGGGGGAAAGGCUGGGGAUCUUCGGACCUAGCGUUAAUGGAGCGGCCGAUAUCUGAUUAGCUAGUAGGUGAGGUAAGAGCUCACCUAGGCGACGAUCAGUAGCUGGUCUGAGAGGACGACCAGCCACACUGGAACUGAGACACGGUCCAG
Molecule: ribosomal RNA, 233 nt
Filed under: uncultured bacterium
Lineage: Bacteria
Description: partial 16S ribosomal RNA
Rfam family: Bacterial small subunit ribosomal RNA
Source: RNAcentral